This 459-nucleotide ribosomal RNA is filed under the name uncultured bacterium. RNAcentral's name for it is "partial 16S ribosomal RNA". It matches the Rfam family "Bacterial small subunit ribosomal RNA", at positions 338 to 795 of the family's 1533-position model. The record is from RNAcentral.
CCUACGGGGGGCAGCAGUGAGGAAUAUUGGUCAAUGGGCGCGAGCCUGAACCAGCCAAGUCGCGUGAGGGAAGACGGUCCUAUGGAUUGUCAACCUCUUUUGUCGGGGAGCAAAAGACGCCACGCGUGGCGUUCCGAGAGUACCCGAAGAAAAAGCAUCGGCUAACUCCGUGCCAGCAGCCGCGGUAAUACGGAGGAUGCGAGGGUUAUCCUGCUUUAAUGGGUUUCAAGGGUGCGCAGGCGGAAGAUCAAGUCAGCGGUAAAAUUGAGAGGCUCAACCUCUUCGAGCCGUUGAAACUGGUUUUCUUGAGUGAGCGAGAAGUAUGCGGAAUGCGUGGUGUAGCGGUGAAAUGCAUAGAUAUCACGCAGAACUCCGAUUGCGAAGGCAGCAUACCGGCGCUCAACUGACGCUCAUGCACGAAAGUGUGGGUAUCGAACAGGAUUAGAUACCCGGGUAGUC